RNAcentral lists this ribosomal RNA (253 nucleotides) under uncultured bacterium. RNAcentral describes it as "partial 16S ribosomal RNA". It matches the Rfam family "Bacterial small subunit ribosomal RNA", at positions 524 to 776 of the family's 1533-position model. The record is from RNAcentral.
UACGGAGGGGGCUAGCAUUGUUCGGAAUUACUGGGCGUAAAGCGCACGUAGGCGGACUGUUAAGUCGGGGGUGAAAUCCCGGGGCUCAACCCCGGAACUGCCUUCGAUACUGGCAGUCUAGAGGAAGGUAGAGGCUAGUGGAAUGGCGAGUGUAGAGGUGAAAUUCGUAGAUAUUCGCCGGAACACCAGUGGCGAAGGCGACUGGCUGGACCUUUUCUGACGCUGAGGUGCGAAAGCGUGGGGAGCAAACCGG